AAAUAUUUAGGCUAAAUUAAACCUUUGACCUUCAAAGUCAACACUCUUUUUCAAGAAUAUUUA
This 63-nucleotide transfer RNA is filed under the name Bathyomphalus contortus. RNAcentral's name for it is "tRNA-Trp". Lineage: Eukaryota; Metazoa; Mollusca; Gastropoda; Planorbidae. The record is from RNAcentral.